UACGUAGGCAGCAAGCGUUGUUCGGAGUUACUGGGCGUAAAGGGUGCGUAGGCGGUCCUGUAAGUAUGGUGUGAAAUCUCCCGGCUUAACUGGGAGGGUGCGCUAUAAACUGCGGGACUAGAGUGUGGGAGAGGAAAGUGGAAUUCCUGGUGUAGCGGUGAAAUGCGUAGAUAUCAGGAGGAACACCGGUGGUGUAAACGGCUUUCUGGACCAUAACUGACGCUGAGGCACGAAAGCGUGGGUAGCAAACAG
Molecule: ribosomal RNA, 252 nt
Filed under: uncultured bacterium
Lineage: Bacteria
Description: partial 16S ribosomal RNA
Rfam family: Bacterial small subunit ribosomal RNA
Source: RNAcentral